Molecule: ribosomal RNA, 253 nt
Filed under: uncultured bacterium
Lineage: Bacteria
Description: partial 16S ribosomal RNA
Rfam family: Bacterial small subunit ribosomal RNA
Source: RNAcentral
UACGUAGGGUGCAAGCGUUAAUCGGAAUUACUGGGCGUAAAGCGUGCGCAGGCGGUUUUUUAAGCUUGAUGUGAAAUCCCCGGGCUUAACCUGGGAACUGCAUUGAGGACUAGAAGGCUAGAGUACGGCAGAGGGGGGUGGAAUUCCACGUGUAGCAGUGAAAUGCGUAGAGAUGUGGAGGAACACCGAUGGCGAAGGCAGCCCCCUGGGUCAAGAUUGACGCUCAUGCACGAAAGCGUGGGGAGCAAACAGG